This is a non-coding RNA of Ailuropoda melanoleuca (giant panda), 73 nucleotides long. Lineage: Eukaryota; Metazoa; Chordata; Mammalia; Carnivora; Ursidae. The record is from Rfam.
GCCUGGCUGGCUCAGUCGGUAGAGCGUGCGACUCUUCAUCUGAGGGUCGUGCGUUCAAGUCCCACGUUGGGUG